ACAGCCGGACAGUCCGUCGCGGGCGUGAUUCCACCAAGGAAUGCACGCAUGAGGAAAGUCCGGGCAACACAGAGCGCCAUACUUCCUAACGGGAAGCCGCGGGCAACCGCAGAGACAACGUGACAGAAAACAACCGCCCCAUUUACGGACGGGGGAGCCAUACCUUUCCAGGAAUGGCGCCACUACCCCCCGGGGCAAGGGUGAAAAGGCGGGGUAAGAGCCCACCGGGCGCCACCGUGAGAUGGCGUGCCGCACGUCUUAUGGGUUGCAAGGUCAUGUAUACCGGCAGCGCGGCAGUGUCUUCGGGCAAAAAGUCGCGGGUGGGUGGCUCGCCCACUGCCGGGGGGUAGACUGCUUUAGCCGCAGUGGCGACACUCGGCAUAGAUAAAUGACGGACCGGCCUGACCGAAGUACCGGCCCCGCAACAGGGGCAGGAAACCGUCGGCGACCGACAUAACCCGGCUUACAGCCCGGCUGUUGUU
Molecule: RNase P RNA, 482 nt
Filed under: Muribaculaceae bacterium
Lineage: Bacteria; Pseudomonadati; Bacteroidota; Bacteroidia; Bacteroidales; Muribaculaceae
Description: RNase P RNA component class A
Rfam family: Bacterial RNase P class A
About the family: Ribonuclease P (RNase P) is a ubiquitous endoribonuclease, found in archaea, bacteria and eukarya as well as chloroplasts and mitochondria. Its best characterised activity is the generation of mature 5'-ends of tRNAs by cleaving the 5'-leader elements of precursor-tRNAs.
Source: RNAcentral